RNAcentral lists this ribosomal RNA (870 nucleotides) under uncultured Neocallimastigales. RNAcentral's name for it is "partial large subunit ribosomal RNA". It matches the Rfam family "Eukaryotic large subunit ribosomal RNA", at positions 1 to 637 of the family's 3401-position model. Lineage: Eukaryota; Fungi; Neocallimastigomycota; Neocallimastigomycetes; Neocallimastigales. The record is from RNAcentral.
GAGACUCUGUGCGCGUGCAUAUCAAUAAGCGGAGGAAAAGGCUGCGGAACUGAACGACCGCUACCUACGCUUAGGAUGUUGACGGCAGUAUAGACUGUAGUCUCGCACAGAUGCAUAUCAAUAAGCGGAGGAAAAGAAACUAACAAGGAUUCCCCUAGUAACGGCGAGUGAAGCGGGAAGAGCUCAAAUUUGAAAUCUUAAAGGGUUUCCCUUUACGAAUUGUAGUUUAAAGAAGUGUUUUCUGUUGAGGUUUUGGUAGAAGUUCUUUGGAAUAGGACAUCAUAGAGGGUGAGAAUCCCGUAUUUGACCUUUACUUUCAACUUUGUGAUACACUUUCAAAGAGUCGGAUUGUUUGGGAAUGCAGUCCAAAAUGGGUGGUAAAUUUCAUCUAAAGCUAAAUAUUGGCGAGAGACCGAUAGCGAACAAGUACCGUGAGGGAAAGAUGAAAAGAACUUUGAAAAGAGAGUUAAACAGUACGUGAAAUUGUCAAAAGGGAAGCGUUUGACACCAGUGUUGUUUUUCUGAAAAUCAAUUAAAGAACUGUUUAUGCUAAGUUGUUUAGACUUUAUCAGCUAUCUGCUUAGUUUUGAGCUUUUCUUUAGUGCACUUUUCAGUUAACAAGUCAACAUCAAUUUCUUUUGCUGUAAAAAAGCUUGAGGAAGGUGGCUUGAGAUUCGUCUUAAGUGUUUAUAGCCUCUUGCCUAUGCAGUCGGAGAGAUUGAGGUCUGCAGCGUAGAUCCUUCGGGGCUAAAUGCAUUUGUGCUAAGUUAUAGCAUUUUAUAGACAACUUGUUGACUAUGAUUUGUCUUGUAGCUUACUCGCUUAUGCUAUUUUACCUACGCUUAGGAUGUUGACAGCAGUAUAGACUGU